This is a long non-coding RNA of Gambusia affinis (western mosquitofish), 1898 nucleotides long. RefSeq lists it as uncharacterized. The transcript is spliced from 2 exons. The record is from RefSeq and is a predicted model, not a curated record. NCBI's taxonomy places the organism in Eukaryota, Metazoa, Chordata, Actinopteri, Cyprinodontiformes, Poeciliidae.
GGGGGCUCCAUUAUCAUAAUCUGGACAUUGACAAUUACCUAUAAUUUGCAAAGAUGCGCUUGGUUCUUGAUUGCAGAGAGGGCUCUCUCUUUUUUUUUUUUUUUUUCCUCGAGCUCGCCAUCACUAAACAGUGACAGUAAUAACAGCUAAUUUUGCAGGCAAUAUAUAUAAGAGCUUACCAGGGUGUGCAAACACACUUUCCCACCUGGAUUUUGCGUAUUCAUCCAGCAGCGGCGAAGCCGCGCAGCGCGGGCGCCUUUUCUUUUUCUUUCUCUUUCGGUGGUGGACAGAAAGCGGAGGAAGAGGAAGCUUCUGGUCUCCAUCCUGUCCCCUCUUCCCCUCCUCUCCAUGUCCCUCUUCAUAUCCACUCCACAUCAACUCUAACCUCCACCCCCCCAUACCUCUCGCCAUUUUUUCCCUUCCUUCCCUCACCCCUUUCUCACCCCCCCAUAGGUACGCCUCCAUCCACUCUUGGCAGCCACAUCUCUUCCUAACUGCCUCCCUCCUCCUCCGCCUGCCUGGCUGGCCCACCCCUCUCCCUGGUUGGUUUCCACAGCUGUGGUGAGUGAGGGGCAGAUGACCGGAGAAUUGGCCCCUGGGAGAGCGCUGAGCCAUCCUGGUGCUAUUAGGCUCGUGGCUAAUAAUAGGUGUUUCAGACCAGGGGAAGAUCAAUCAGGGGGAAUCAUGGGGAAUGUUCAGAGCAGCGCUUUUUACACAUCGGCCCAGAUGGAUGAAAUUACACUUGUCAGUUUUUAGUUGCAUUACUCCCAAAUUGGUUGUCUGCUCUUUUUUUUUCUCUUCCUCUCUCCCUCACAAUCCCUCUUCUCUCCUUUCUCUCUCUUUGCCCCCCAUUCAUGUGUCAGUGGCCUGCUAAAAGGAUUCGCCGGUGAAAUCCCUGUCAUUUUUGUCUUUUGCCUGUUUAGCCCUCAGCCGGCAACAACUCCAUCGCCUUGCAUGUAUGCACUUAGAAAACAUCAAACUCACGUCUUGGGGGCUCGGCCAAUUUCCAUGUUAAAGCCAGAGUCUGCCGCUGACAUUCCGUGUGCGCUCUGCAUGCAUAAUAAAGCCAUUUGGUGUCGUCACUGUCAAACACCCAGAGGACAAUCACAGAAAGGAGCAGAUGAAGAGAAAAAUUGAUUUGCGCCAAUGUUAACCGUUUCUUAAACAAGGAGUUGCUUCGUGUCUUGAUAGAUACAGGAUUCAAAGUGAGGCGAGGCAUUUACUCUGAUGACAGAGUUUCAUUUGAGGUCCACAAAAAUGUUUAAAGCCAAUUGUAAACAUUGUUUAUUUACAGUCUAAAGCCAGCAGUAGAAUGCACAUUUACACUCAAAUGUUUAUCAUGAAAAUUAUUACAAAUUUUCAUAUAUUUAUCGGGCCACCUAAUGAAAUGUUAUAUUGCAAUUUUGUAUCUCUGUUCUUUCUGAUAUCCUUUUAAUAUGUUGUCUUCUAACUUGCCUUGACCUGAUUAAUUCCUCUUGCUAUUUAACAACAUUUAGCAACUAUUUGCAAUUUGUUUACGUGGUUUGUCCUUCCCCAGUGUAAAUAUCUUUAAUAAAUUUAGAAAUGUCUUUUGAGUAAUAUGAGAAAGUCCACAAAAUAUUGUUUUGUCUACAUUCAGCACUGUUGUUUUAGAAUGGGAAAUACCUGAGGAAAACAGAUAAAAAGGUUUGUGAGUGUGAAAUGAAGCUUUGCAGUCAUGAAACCGUUUCGAUGUUAAUAUUUACAAAAAAAAACUGCACUUAAAGGAAAUUGAUCUUUGAGUCAAAUGCAUAAAUCAUGUUUUAAGUGAGCAGAAAUAAUCCGUGUUGUAAUGGUGUAAUUAAAGCUGCAAUUUGCAAAUGAAACAUUCAGUCUGUAUCUCACUGCUUGAAACAAAAUAAAAUGAACUUUUAAUCAUA